This is a small nuclear RNA of Peromyscus maniculatus bairdii (prairie deer mouse), 107 nucleotides long. The record is from Ensembl. NCBI's taxonomy places the organism in Eukaryota, Metazoa, Chordata, Mammalia, Rodentia, Cricetidae.
GUGCUCUCUUUGGCAGCACAUAUACUAAAAUUGGAAUGAUACAGAGAAAAUUAGCAUGGCCCCUGUGCAAGGAUGACAUGCAAAUUCAUGAAGCAUUCCAUAUAUAU